RNAcentral lists this transfer RNA (76 nucleotides) under Candidatus Saccharibacteria bacterium RIFCSPHIGHO2_01_FULL_45_15. RNAcentral describes it as "tRNA-Thr". It matches the Rfam family "tRNA". Rfam says of the family: Transfer RNA (tRNA) molecules are approximately 80 nucleotides in length. RNAcentral also lists the same sequence under 8 other names. Lineage: Bacteria; Candidatus Saccharimonadota. The record is from RNAcentral.
GCCGCGAUAGCUCAGUUGGUAGAGCGCAUCCAUGGUAAGGAUGAGGUCCUGGGUUCAAAUCCCAGUCGUGGCUCCA